UGCGCCUCUCUCUCUCCUUCUCUCUCUCUCUCUCUUUUUUUUUUUUUUGUCUCAGUCGUGUGGACAUCAUUGGGAAUAAGUGACUGUAUGGUCCUUACGUUUUAAGUUUCACACUGGAAGUUCAGGAAGGCUGUGCUUGAGCCGGCGUCUGCCUCUUGACGGUCACAGCACCCUUCCUGGGGAGGUGGAAGCAUCAGCUCCUCUGUGAAUAACUGGGAGAUGAAACAGGAAGCUCUAUGACACACUUGAUCGAAAAUGACACAGACAAAAAAAAAAAAAAAAAUCAGGACUCAGCCCCCUCCGACGCCUCUCCUGGCUGCCUGUUGCCCAUGGCAGGGGUGCCGAUGACCGGUCUGCCCUGGUUCCAGCUCUGACAGGCCUGGAUGUCAAAGGCUUCUGUGUUCGCUGGUGAUGCGUCUGUGGCAUUACGUCCAUGGUCUCAUAUGGGCGGUUUCCUACUUAUCUGGCCAGGUUCCAUGUGUCUUAAUCCCUUUUCUUCAUUAAAAGCAAAACUGAAAAAAAAA
Molecule: long non-coding RNA, 524 nt
Organism: Rhinolophus ferrumequinum (greater horseshoe bat)
Lineage: Eukaryota; Metazoa; Chordata; Mammalia; Chiroptera; Rhinolophidae
Exons: 2
Source: RefSeq, a predicted model, not a curated record